Molecule: transfer RNA, 115 nt
Filed under: Cryptococcus neoformans
Lineage: Eukaryota; Fungi; Basidiomycota; Tremellomycetes; Tremellales; Cryptococcaceae
Also listed under: 1 other name
Description: tRNA-Arg
Rfam family: tRNA
About the family: Transfer RNA (tRNA) molecules are approximately 80 nucleotides in length. Their secondary structure includes four short double-helical elements and three loops (D, anti-codon, and T loops).
Source: RNAcentral
GUCCGCGUAGCACAGUGGUAGUGCGCUUGACUACGAUUACUUAGUACAUUUUGCUUCAGCAGGUGUACCUAGGAUCUGCAUCAAGAGGUCGCGAUUUCGAAUAUCGCCGUGGAUU